AACGAACGCUGGCGGCAUGCCUAACACAUGCAAGUCGAACGAGACCUUCGGGUCUAGUGGCGCACGGGUGCGUAACGCGUGGGAACCUGCACUUAGGUUCGGAAUAACUCCCCGAAAGGGGUGAUAAUACCGGAUAAUGUCUUCGGCCCAAAGAUUUAUCGCCUUUGGAUGGACCCUCGUUGGAUUAGCUAGUUGGUAGGGUAAAAGCUUACCAAGGCGACGAUCCAUAGCUGGUCUGAGAGGAUGAUCAGCCACACUGGGACUGAGACACGGCCCAGACUCCUACGGGAGGCAGCAGUGGGGAAUAUUGGACAAUGGGCGAAAGCCUGAUCCAGCAAUGCCGCGUGAGUGAUGAAGGCCUUAGGGUUGUAAAGCUCUUUUACCCGGGAUGAUAAUGACAGUACCGGGAGAAUAAGCUCCGGCUAACUCCGUG
RNAcentral lists this ribosomal RNA (433 nucleotides) under uncultured bacterium. Its description in RNAcentral is "partial 16S ribosomal RNA". It matches the Rfam family "Bacterial small subunit ribosomal RNA", at positions 29 to 507 of the family's 1533-position model. The record is from RNAcentral.